UACGUAGGGGGCGAGCGUUGUCCGAAUUUACUGGGCGUAAAGCGCGCGUAGGCGGACUUUUAAGUGGAGGGUGAAAUGCCGGGGCUUAACCCCGGAACUGCCUUCCAAACUGGGAGUCUUGAGGCUUGGAGAGGGAAGUGGAAUUCCUGGUGUAGCGGUGAAAUGCGUAGAUAUCAGGAGGAACACCCGUGGCGAAGGCGGCUUCCUGGCCAUGUCCUGACGCUGAGGUGCGAAAGCUAGGGGAGCGAACGGG
Molecule: ribosomal RNA, 253 nt
Filed under: uncultured bacterium
Lineage: Bacteria
Description: partial 16S ribosomal RNA
Rfam family: Bacterial small subunit ribosomal RNA
Source: RNAcentral